This is a long non-coding RNA of Melanotaenia boesemani (Boeseman's rainbowfish), 101 nucleotides long. RefSeq lists it as uncharacterized. The record is from RefSeq and is a predicted model, not a curated record. Lineage: Eukaryota; Metazoa; Chordata; Actinopteri; Atheriniformes; Melanotaeniidae. The transcript has 3 exons.
AGAGUUGUGUGUGAGGCCAUCAAUAUGACAGCUAAAGCUUAGCUGAAACUGGGUCAUGCAACAGGGCAAAGGUAAUAAACUCAGCAACAAAUCAAGGUGUU